GGGGAAUCUUGCGCAAUGGGCGAAAGCCUGACGCAGCAACGCCGCGUGGGGGAUGAAGGCCUUCGGGUUGUAAACCUCUUUCACCAUCGACGAAGCCUUUUGGGGUGACGGUAGGUGGGGAAGAAGCACCGGCUAACUACGUGCCAGCAGCCGCGGUAAUACGUAGGGUGCGAGCGUUGUCCGGAUUUAUUGGGCGUAAAGAGCUCGUAGGCGGUUUGUCGCGUCGGCCGUGAAAACCUACAGCUUAACUGUGGGCUUGCGGUCGAUACGGGCAGACUUGAGUUCGGCAGGGGAGACUGGAAUUCCUGGUGUAGCGGUGAAAUGCGCAGAUAUCAGGAGGAACACCGGUGGCGAAGGCGGGUCUCUGGGCCGAUACUGACGCUGAGGAGCGAAAGCGUGGGGAGCGAAC
RNAcentral lists this ribosomal RNA (409 nucleotides) under uncultured bacterium. RNAcentral's name for it is "bacterial SSU rRNA". It matches the Rfam family "Bacterial small subunit ribosomal RNA", at positions 356 to 773 of the family's 1533-position model. The record is from RNAcentral.